UAUGAACGCUGGCGGCGUGCCUAAUACAUGCAAGUCGAGCGAACAGACGAGGAGCUUGCUCCUCUGACGUUAGCGGCGGACGGGUGAGUAACACGUGGAUAACCUACCUAUAAGACUGGGAUAACUUAGGGAAACCGGAGCUAAUACCGGAUAAUAUAUUGAACCGCAUGGUUCAAUAGUGAAAGACGGUUUUGCUGUCACUUAUAGAUGGAUCCGCGCCGCAUUAGCUAGUUGGUAAGGUAACGGCUUACCAAGGCAACGAUGCGUAGCCGACCUGAGAGGGUGAUCGGCCACACUGGAACUGAGACACGGUCCAGACUCCUACGGGAGGCAGCAGUAGGGAAUCUUCCGCAAUGGGCGAAAGCUUGACGGAGCAACGCCGCGUGAGUGAUGAAGGUCUUCGGAUCGUAAAACUCUGUUAUUAGGGAAGAACAAAUGUGUAAGUAACUAUGCACGUCUUGACGGUACCUAAUCAGAAAGCCACGGCUAACUACGUG
RNAcentral lists this ribosomal RNA (497 nucleotides) under uncultured bacterium. RNAcentral describes it as "partial 16S ribosomal RNA". It matches the Rfam family "Bacterial small subunit ribosomal RNA", at positions 29 to 507 of the family's 1533-position model. The record is from RNAcentral.